CACUGGACUAAACAAAGAACAGAGACUUUUUGUUUUCUGAAUAUUUUAUAUGUGGAUAUUAUUUAUUUGGCAGGAAUGCAAUUUUGUAUUAAAAUGUAUUUAAAUAUUUCUUAAAUAUUUCUAUUAAAUAGUUCUUCUUAACAGUCUUUUAAAAAAAAAAAAUAAUAAUAAUAAUGUUUCUAAUGAACAGAUACCAAUUUAAACUAUGGAAUUUAAUCAUUUAAAAACUGACCUUAACUGACCACACAUCUGACCUUGAAAAGACUAUAAAAGUAGAAUACACUGAAUAGAAAACAGAGACUGAGUUGGCUUUGAAGAAACUUUUACAGUGUGUAACAAGGUUUUUUUUUUCUGAAUGAAAUUUAAUUCAACAUACAGAAAAUGGCCCAAAUAAUAUGCAUCAUAUAUUUCCAAAGUUGCAAACAAACUUUAGGAAAUUUUGAACUUGUAAAAAUCAGACCAUCCUAGUUUCCGCAGUGCUGGAAGUUUGUCAGCGUUGUGUGCAAGCACACGUGUGUGUGUGUGUGUGAGAGAGAGAGUGAGUGUUCCCUGCUGUUUUGAGCACCCCAGAUGCAGUAACACACUUCAGAAAUGAGAGCGUUGUGUUCCUUCUGGUUGGAGAGGAGGCAGCCUGGGAAAGCCAGCAGCAUCUGGACAAUGCAGUCUCUGGAGUCCACUGCCUAGCAACAUCCCCCCAACCAGCGGCACGGUAACAAGCAUCCUAAAUGCAGAGUGACCAGGAAUAAUGGUGCCCUGUGCAGAUGGCCAUAGAGACUGGAUUUAAAUAGGAUGCGGGACAGGAAACGGCAUCGACAUUCCGCAGAGGGGCCUCGCUAUAGUGACAGACCCUGCCGGACACGUUCAGAGGUUGAAUGGACCAUCGCUGUGUGGAAACAUCUCUUGUUUGCUGUCUGAAUAGAUCUGAUGACUCAGUACUGUACAGAUCCAUGCAGGUGCACUCUUUUGUCAUGUACAGCACACUGUGCAUAAAAAUAUGUUGCAUGUCCCACUUAACCAC
Cyprinus carpio carpio is the source of this 1018-nucleotide long non-coding RNA. NCBI's taxonomy places the organism in Eukaryota, Metazoa, Chordata, Actinopteri, Cypriniformes, Cyprinidae. The record is from Ensembl.